UAUAUAUAUAUAUAUAUAUAUAUAUAAAAAGGAGAACUUUGGAAAUAUCAACUGAACAGCGGCACAGGUGCCAUUGUUGCACCUUUGUCCCAGUUCACAGAAAGGAGUUGGAAAGCAGCCGGAUCAAAGGAAUCAAUGUGUACGUCUGUGAAUAGGAUGUUUUUGUGACAGGGACAUAAUCAGAGACUGGCUUUGAAACACCAUUUCAAACAUUUACAAAGCCAAAUAAAAGUCAGUGGGCAAAGCGCAAUUCUUUUCAAGCCCUAACUGAAAUGUGUCCGUAGUAAGGUUGCACAAAUAUGUUGUUCUUUUUUGAAAUUUCCAUUGCAAAGUCAAAUUUUGAACUCUAUUGCUUGUGACUAACAAUUAUACAUAUGUAUGUUUUACAUGUAUAUUUAUACAACGUUUUUUUGGUCUCGUUUGUGAUCACUUCACUGUUCAAAUGACUGAAAGAAUGUUAAAUAAUACUGAAAUCACCAGAAAGGUCUUCGUGCAUUGUUUUGAUAGCGGCAGUAGUAAUAACGAUAUCUAGUAGGUUGGAUUGAAGCAGCGAGCUCCGUUAAAUAAAGGAGACUUCCUGGUGGAGCUGCAGGUCGGCGCAGCGUUACUUGGACUCAGUAGUGUUUAAACUCAGCCGACGGCCUGAAAUCAAAGUUACACCAGACCGUGAAAGCUGGAACCACUAAAAACUACCAGUAGUAGUACGAAGGUGCAGUAAACUUACCCCUUUCUCCACAAAUACACAAGCGAGGACACAACUCUUCAGAGAGGUUGAGAGUUUUGCCACAUAACCGCCACUCCUUCCUCAACGGUCCCCCUUCCCUCCCUUUGCACCGGGAGUCUCCCCCUCUCUCCCCCUCGCUCUCCCGGCCCGGGGAGGAGGACUGUGUGUCGCAAUGUUAGCUGCUUCCAGUCGGGGACAUUACAAAUGCCAGAUAUCCACUCGCUAUCGUUGCUGCUGACAUGCAAACAAAAGAAACUAGAGGAAUUUCACGCAAAGGAAAAAGUUCACUUCUUGAAAUUCAAUUGGGGGACUUCCGGUCGCCGCCUUCAAAAUAAAUGUGUUGUUUUUAGUUCGCGUUCUAGAUGCAGCUACACAAGCCGAGCUACGGAUCAGGAGAGAAACAACAAUAACUUUGCUGGCGCACAUUUAAGUUGUUUUGUACUCGUGUUUUCCGGCGUGUUGUUUGUGGCUUA
Long non-coding RNA from Gasterosteus aculeatus aculeatus (three-spined stickleback), 1197 nucleotides. NCBI's taxonomy places the organism in Eukaryota, Metazoa, Chordata, Actinopteri, Perciformes, Gasterosteidae. The record is from Ensembl.